Molecule: ribosomal RNA, 253 nt
Filed under: uncultured bacterium
Lineage: Bacteria
Description: partial 16S ribosomal RNA
Rfam family: Bacterial small subunit ribosomal RNA
Source: RNAcentral
UACGUAGGGGGCAAGCGUUGUCCGGAAUCAUUGGGCGUAAAGCGCGUGUAGGCGGUUCGAUAAGUCUGCUGUGAAAGUCCAGGGCUCAACCCUGGAAAGCCGGUGGAUACUGUCGGACUAGAGUGCGGAAGAGGCGAGUGGAAUUCCCGGUGUAGCGGUGAAAUGCGCAGAUAUCGGGAGGAACACCAGUAGCGAAGGCGACACUCUGGGCCGGUACUGACGCUGAGGAGCGAAAGCGUGGGGAGCAAACAGG